Molecule: transfer RNA, 74 nt
Filed under: Caudoviricetes sp.
Lineage: Duplodnaviria; Heunggongvirae; Uroviricota; Caudoviricetes
Description: tRNA-Arg
Rfam family: tRNA
About the family: Transfer RNA (tRNA) molecules are approximately 80 nucleotides in length. Their secondary structure includes four short double-helical elements and three loops (D, anti-codon, and T loops).
Source: RNAcentral
GCCCGCUUAGCUCAGCUGGAAAGAGCGCCGGUUUCCUAAACCGGGCGUCGCAGGUUCGAGUCCUGCAGCGGGCG